RNAcentral lists this ribosomal RNA (499 nucleotides) under uncultured bacterium. RNAcentral's name for it is "bacterial SSU rRNA". It matches the Rfam family "Bacterial small subunit ribosomal RNA", at positions 28 to 524 of the family's 1533-position model. The record is from RNAcentral.
AUUGAACGCUGGCGGAAUGCUUUACACAUGCAAGUCGAGCGGCAGCGCGGGGGCAACCCUGGCGGCGAGCGGCGAACGGGUGAGUAACAUAUCGGAACGUACCCCGUCGUGGGGGAUAACACAGCGAAAGCUGUGCUAAUACCGCAUACGACCUGAGGGUGAAAGCGGGGGAUCGCAAGACCUCGCGCGAUGGGAGCGGCCGAUAUCGGAUUAGCUUGUUGGCGGGUAAGGCCCACCAAGGCGAUGAUCGGUAGCUGGUCUGAGAGGACGAUCAGCCACACUGGGACUGAGACACGGCCCAGACUCCUACGGGAGGCAGCAGUGGGGAAUAUUGGACAAUGGGCGCAAGCCUGAUCCAGCAAUGCUGCGUGGGUGAAGACGGCCUGCGGGUUGUAAAGCCCUUUAGGCGGGGAGGAACGGCGUCGUGCGAACAGUGCGGCGUUCUGACGUUACCCGCGGAAUAAGCACCGGCUAACUCCGUGCCAGCAGCCGCGGUAAU